AACGCGAAUGGCACUCUUGUGAAAGCAAGAGUAUGUCUGUUUGAGAAUCGCAAAAAACGAUCAACUCAAGUUUGAGUUUGGUACUGGCAUUAGCAGCAGGCAGGUUUCUAGCGUGCGCUUCUGCCCGAAUGCAUUGAGGCUGAUGAGUCCCCCGGGUGGAGCUCUUAUGUGUGCUAGCGAACAGGUGUUUCGACGUCACAAAGGGCUUCCCGCAGGCUCUGUCGACGGCCUUUUGCUGGUUGGUUGAUGCGAGUCGAUCGAUCGAUCGAUCGACUGGCUGACUACUGACUAGCUAAUAAUCAUCAAACGAUCUCAAAUCAGGCAAGACUACCCGCUGGACUUAA
RNAcentral lists this unclassified non-coding RNA (344 nucleotides) under uncultured fungus. RNAcentral's name for it is "partial contains 5.8S ribosomal RNA, internal transcribed spacer 2, and large subunit ribosomal RNA". The record is from RNAcentral. Lineage: Eukaryota; Fungi.